RNAcentral lists this ribosomal RNA (440 nucleotides) under uncultured bacterium. RNAcentral describes it as "partial 16S ribosomal RNA". It matches the Rfam family "Bacterial small subunit ribosomal RNA", at positions 338 to 795 of the family's 1533-position model. The record is from RNAcentral.
CCUACGGGCGGCAGCAGUGGGGAAUAUUGCACAAUGGGGGAAACCCUGAUGCAGCGACGCCGCGUGAGUGAAGAAGUAUCUCGGUAUGUAAAGCUCUAUCAGCAGGGAAGAAAAUGACGGUACCUGUUUAAGAAGCCCCGGCUAACUACGUGCCAGCAGCCGCGGUAAUACGUAGGGGGCAAGCGUUAUCCGGAUUUACUGGGUGUAAAGGGAGCGUAGACGGCAGCACAAGUCUGGAGUGAAAUGCCGGGGCUUAACCCCGGAACUGCUUUGGAAACUGUGCAGCUAGAGUGCAGGAGAGGUAAGUGGAAUUCCUAGUGUAGCAGUGAAAUGCGUAGAUAUUAGGAGGAACACCAGUGGCGAAGGCGGGUUACUGGACUGUAACUGACGUUGAGGCUCGAAAGCGUGGGGAGCAAACGGGAUUAGAUACCCGAGUAGUC